UACGGGGGGGGCAAGCGUUGUUCGGAAUUACUGGGCGUAAAGGGCUCGUAGGUGGCCAACUAAGUCAGACGUGAAAUCCCUCAGCUUAACUGGGGAACUGCGUCUGAUACUGGAUGGCUGGAGUUUGGGAGAGGGAUGCGGAAUUCCAGGUGUAGCGGUGAAAUGCGUAGAUAUCUGGAGGAACACCGGUGGCGAAGGCGGCAUCCUGGACCAAUACUGACGCUGAGGAGCGAAAGCCAGGGGAGCAAACGGG
Molecule: ribosomal RNA, 253 nt
Filed under: uncultured bacterium
Lineage: Bacteria
Description: partial 16S ribosomal RNA
Rfam family: Bacterial small subunit ribosomal RNA
Source: RNAcentral